RNAcentral lists this ribosomal RNA (836 nucleotides) under uncultured bacterium. RNAcentral's name for it is "bacterial SSU rRNA". It matches the Rfam family "Bacterial small subunit ribosomal RNA", at positions 28 to 896 of the family's 1533-position model. The record is from RNAcentral.
AAUCAACGCUGGCGGCGUGCCUAACACAUGCAAGUCGAACGAGAAAGUGGAGCAAUCCAUGAGUAAAGUGGCGACCGGGUGAGUAACACGUGACUAACCUACCUCCGAGUGGGGAAUAACUCCGGGAAACCGGGGCUAAUACCGCAUAACAUCGCAAGAUCAAAGCAGCAAUGCGCUUGGAGAGGGGGUCGCGGCUGAUAGCUAGUUGGCGGGGUAACGGCCCACCAAGGCGAAGAUCGGUAUCCGGCCUGAGAGGGCGCACGGACACACUGGAACUGAAACACGGUCCAGACUCCUACGGGAGGCAGCAGUGGGGAAUUUUGCGCAAUGGGGGAAACCCUGACGCAGCAACGCCGCGUGGAGGAUGAAGCCCCUUGGGGCGUAAACUCCUUUCGACUCGGAAGAUAAUGACGGUACGAGUGGAAGAAGCACCGGCUAACUCUGUGCCAGCAGCCGCGGUAAUACAGAGGGUGCGAGCGUUGUUCGGAAUUAUUGGGCGUAAAGGGCGCGUAGGCGGUGCCACAAGUCACUUGUGAAAUCCCCGGGCUUAACUCGGGGCCUGCAGGCGAAACUGUGGUGCUGGAGUGUGGGAGAGGUGCGUGGAAUUCCCGGUGUAGCGGUGAAAUGCGUAGAUAUCGGGAGGAACACCUGUGGCGAAAGCGGCGCACUGGACCAUAACUGACGCUGAGGCGCGAAAGCUAGGGGAGCAAACAGGAUUAGAUACCCUGGUAGUCCUAGCCCUAAACGAUGAUUGCUUGGUGUAGCAGGUACCCAAUCCUGCUGUGCCGCAGCUAACGCGAUAAGCAAUCCGCCUGGGGAGUACGGUCGCAAGGCUG